RNAcentral lists this unclassified non-coding RNA (331 nucleotides) under fungal sp. RNAcentral describes it as "partial internal transcribed spacer region". The stretch from base 1 to 46 matches the Rfam family "Eukaryotic small subunit ribosomal RNA", at positions 1786 to 1831 of the family's 1831-position model. The record is from RNAcentral. Lineage: Eukaryota; Fungi.
AAGUCGUAACAAGGUUUCCGUAGGUGAACCUGCGGAAGGAUCAUUAACACUCCAAAACAAACUCAUUACUCUUGGCAACAAGGGUAUAUGAAACCCUAUUCACAAGCGAACCCGAAGGGAAACACGUGAGAAGGCGAGACUUUCUGGUUUCAAUCUCUCACUGUUUUUCUCCUUCAACAUUUUCUUUUGUCCCUUUUUUUUCUUUUAAGCCCCACACAUUUUACUUUUAGACUGACUGAGACGCAAGUCUCGUUGUACUUCGAAAGAAGCGCAAUGAAAAUCGAUAAGAUUAACAAAAAAACAACUCUUAGCAACGGAUAUCUUGGUUCUC